AUGACCUCAGAUUCUUAUGAGAUAGAACAGAUUUGACUUCCUUUAUCUAACCUGAGAAUAAAUAAAAUAAGGUAGAAGGUGUGGGAAAUUCAGCACCAUGAAACAGUAUAUGACAGUGGAUUUUUUUUUUAUUUCUUUAUUUUUCUACAUGCUUUAAAUAUAGGAAAAGCCAUUGGAACUGUAUAUCAUGAUGAACUUUGAAGGCAUUGUUAGCAGGGUUUACUCAUAGGAACUUUGCUUUAUAACUGAAUGGCUGGUAGGAUUGUGUAACACUUGAAAGAUCCCCUUUCUGGAUGUGAUGGUUUUUUAUUUUUAUCUUAUUUUAUGGGUGUCAUUUCAUAUACAUAUGCACACAAUGAAUGUCACAGGAGCUUUCCUGACGACGAGCCAUUGCUAUAUAUUUUGUGUUUGACUGCUAUCCAAAAUGAUGAAGUAAUGUCAUAAACCAGCUUUGCAAAAACUGCCAAAUCUCAACCUGAAUUUAAGUUGCUAUUUGAAGCGUUCACACGUGUAACUGUAUUUUUAUCUGUACAGAAGUGAAGAGUAUGUGUGUUCCAGAUGACAGCUACUCUAAAAAAAGAUGGUUCUUUAAAUCUUCUUUACAUGUGGAAACGGUUCCAUUUAGAGCCAUAGCAUUCUGAAGAAUUUAUUUUUAAUACCGAAAUGGUUCCUUGCGUCAGAGUUUAGGGUUCCUUUUUCUUUUUGUUUUUCAAAUCGGUUCAAAGCACUACAUUACUGAGUUUCUGGAGUUCAGUGAAUCCAACUACAGACUGUCAACACAUUCUCAACAGAGUGAGCAGCUCUGGCUGAGAAUAUUUCUCACUAAGUAAAAGAGCAAACUGAUUUUCUGGAGUUCAGCUAUCCAACAACACAGACUGUCAACACACUCUCAACAG
This is a long non-coding RNA of Carassius auratus (goldfish), 896 nucleotides long. RefSeq lists it as uncharacterized. The record is from RefSeq and is a predicted model, not a curated record. Lineage: Eukaryota; Metazoa; Chordata; Actinopteri; Cypriniformes; Cyprinidae. The transcript is spliced from 3 exons.